Molecule: non-coding RNA, 781 nt
Organism: Meleagris gallopavo (turkey)
Lineage: Eukaryota; Metazoa; Chordata; Aves; Galliformes; Phasianidae
Source: RefSeq, a predicted model, not a curated record
CACGCGGCCGCGCGCCUCCGCCUCGUGCCUCCUCCGGCAGAGCGCGGGAGGGGCGAGCCCGCCCUCGCGCCGAUGUGUAUGUGGACACGUAUGUUGCUUGCACUGAAAGUAAUGCUUCCUAUUUACUUCCAUGGAAACUACAAGAGAUACAAACAGCACCAUGACACAAUUGGAUAGAACAAAUUCUCAGCUAUAAGAUGUUAUUUUUCAACACAGCCACCAGCAUUACCUGUAUGUUUUCACCAGCAUUGAGAAAGAGCCUGCAUCAUGCAUUCAUAAAUGUCUGCACCAGCAGAGGGAGCACUGUUUGCGCUGCUGAAAUGCACCACCGGGACAGUGGGUGCCAUUUUCUUCCCGCAUGGACGAAUUUAAUUCCACACCUUUGCUUCGUACAUGCUUCCACGUCAGAUGCCAUGUUGUCAGACUGCCCCAUUGCUGCCAUCUGUUGAAAGGCAACAAAAUGGAAUGGGUGAUUGUUGGGAAGGUUCAGCCUCUACUGUUAUACCACCAACAUCUGCCUCUGACGAUAUGGGCCAACGUUAUAAGAUAAGAGGCGCUACUUUCAGAGCAGCCCUUGUAAUGAUAUCCUGCCUUCACAGACAGGAGCUGUUGAAUACAGCGACUCUUUCAGUUAUGAAAGCAAGAAAUCUGAAGAACUGGAAACAGUGUAGCUCAAGCUGAGAAGAGAAAAAUACUUGAGAUAAGACUACAGGAAGAGGAGAAGAUAUAAAUCAAGGUCUUUAUCAGGACCAACUGGUGAAUGUUUUGGAAAACUAGGUAA